CUCUAAGUCAUUUCGGUUAAUUUCAUCAAUGUGGGGGGGGGGGACGACGACAAGAAUCAUGCCAUCUGCUGUGUUCUUCUCAUGCUACACAAUGUAAUUAAUGCUAUAGCUAUCCAUGUGCGUUUGAAGUCUGAUAAGCCACACGAGUGCAUUUUCAAACUUGAGGAUCAGCAGCCCUAGUCCUACCUCAGUGAAAUCUUUCAACAUAUAAGCAAAGACUUAUAUAAGAUGAGAUGUCUCCUUUUGCCUUCCAGUUAAGUCUGUUCACCUCUAGCCGGUGGAGGAUCUAUGAACUCUGAUAUGGCCAAACAUAGUGUCGGUGCUAUUCCUGGCCUUAUUGCGUUAGUCUGUACUUAGGAGAAUCAUCCAGGGGAAGGCAGAGGAAGUUUGGAAGGAAGACGAGGAGAUUAUGAGGAAAGAGGAGCUGGAACAAGCCGAGGUGAUGACACCAGGACAGUCUGGUACACCACAUAGGUUUGUGUUAUGUGACAAGAGGCAGGCCUACUCAUUAUGGACUCCAUGGCUGGGUUUGAAUUGCCAUUCUAUGUAUCGUACUCAUACUAAACCUUACCAGUAUGCACAAAUGCUGCAUUCAACUUACCGUACAUUGGAAGUGGCAUCACUUGCGACUUCCAUCCAUUGGAACUACAAAGUGGAGAGAAAAAACUAACUGCCAUGAAUGAUGUAUAUUUACUUCAUCAAUACUGCAACCUGUACAUCAAUGUUACAGAUUUAACAAGCUAAUAUUCCCAUUUGUUGUGUGAUCCAAAGCAAAUCCUCAUGUAUAUA
This is a long non-coding RNA of Ictalurus punctatus (channel catfish), 789 nucleotides long. NCBI's taxonomy places the organism in Eukaryota, Metazoa, Chordata, Actinopteri, Siluriformes, Ictaluridae. The record is from Ensembl.